UAAAGUUGUUGCAGUUAAAAAGCUAGUAGUUGAAUUUUGGGUCUGGCCGGGCGGUCCACCUUCCGGUUGAGCACUGUUCCGACGCCGGGCCUAUCCUUCUGGUGAGACGGCAUGCCCUUCGCUGGGUGUGUCGGGGAACCAGGACCAUUACCUUGAAAAAAUUAGAGUGUUCAAAGCAGGCGUUUGCUCGAAUACAUUAGCAUGGAAUAAUGAAAUAGGACGCGUGGUACUAUUUUGUUGGUUUCUAGGACCGACGUAAUGAUUAAUAGGG
RNAcentral lists this ribosomal RNA (271 nucleotides) under uncultured Ambispora. RNAcentral describes it as "partial small subunit ribosomal RNA". It matches the Rfam family "Eukaryotic small subunit ribosomal RNA", at positions 605 to 877 of the family's 1831-position model. Lineage: Eukaryota; Fungi; Glomeromycota; Glomeromycetes; Archaeosporales; Ambisporaceae. The record is from RNAcentral.